This 31-nucleotide non-coding RNA is filed under the name Rattus norvegicus (Norway rat). The record is from RNAcentral. Lineage: Eukaryota; Metazoa; Chordata; Mammalia; Rodentia; Muridae.
UCCUCAUGAUGGUGUCAAAAGCUGUCUAUAU